This 388-nucleotide ribosomal RNA is filed under the name Carlia rubrigularis. RNAcentral's name for it is "partial 12S ribosomal RNA". It matches the Rfam family "Bacterial small subunit ribosomal RNA", at positions 794 to 1388 of the family's 1533-position model. The record is from RNAcentral. Lineage: Eukaryota; Metazoa; Chordata; Lepidosauria; Squamata; Scincidae.
GCCUAGCCAUAAACAAAGACGGUGUAAUCACAACACCGUUCGCCAGAGAACUACAAGCAUAAAACUCAAAACUCCAAGGACUUGGCGGUGCUCCAAUCAACCUAGAGGAGCCUGUCCUAUAAUCGAUACUCCACGAUUUACCUCACCACCCCUUGAAACUCAGCCUAUAUACCGCCGCCGUCAGCCUACCUUAUGAAAGAAGCAAAGUAAGCAAAAUAGUCACUAACUAGAACGUCAGGUCAAGGUGUAGCACAUGGGCUGGAAGAGAUGGGCUACACUCUCUAAGCUAGAGAAUUACGAAUAGCACAAUGAAACACUGCUUAAAGGCGGAUUUAGUAGUAAGAUAAGCAAGAGAACUUAUCUUAAACAAGCCCUGGAGCGCGCACAC